This 758-nucleotide ribosomal RNA is filed under the name uncultured bacterium. RNAcentral describes it as "bacterial SSU rRNA". It matches the Rfam family "Bacterial small subunit ribosomal RNA", at positions 58 to 760 of the family's 1533-position model. The record is from RNAcentral.
CAGGUCGAGCGGUAAGGCUCCUGCAGUUUAUUUGAUUAUGAUAACUUUGGUUAUCGUAGCAAACCAAAUCAACCCCGGCUAGGGAAGAUAUGGGGCGGGAAAAUCGAAUAAAGUGUUGGANUACACGAGCGGCGGACGGCUGAGUAACGCGUAGGAACGUACCCCAAAGUGAGGGAUAAGCACCAGAAAUGGUGUCUAAUACCGCAUGUGAUCUAAGGAUUAAAGCUUCGGCGCUUUGGGAACGGCCUGCGUAUGAUUAGCUAGUUGGUGAGGUAAUAGCUCACCAAGGCGACGAUCAUUAGCUGGUUUGAGAGGAUGAUCAGCCAGACUGGGACUGAGACACGGCCCAGACUCCUACGGGAGGCAGCAGUAGGGAAUUUUCCACAAUGGGCGAAAGCCUGAUGGAGCAACGCCGCGUGCAGGAUGAAUGCCUUCGGGUUGUAAACUGCUUUUAUAUGUGACGAUUAUGACGGUAGCAUAUGAAUAAGGAUCGGCUAACUCCGUGCCAGCAGCCGCGGUCAUACGGAGGAUCCAAGCGUUAUCCGGAAUUACUGGGCGUAAAGAGUUGCGUAGGUGGCAUAGUAAGCGGACAGUGAAAGCGUGUGGCUCAACCAUACACACAUUGCCCGAACUGCUAAGCUAGAGUAUGAGAGAGGUAGAUGGAAUUCCCUGUGUAGGAGUGAAAUCCGUAGAUAUAGGGAGGAACACCGAUGGCGUAGGCAGUCUACUGGCUCAUUACUGACCUAAGGCACGAAAGC